UACAGAGGUCUCAAGCGUUGUUCGGAAUCACUGGGCGUAAAGGGUGCGUAGGCCGCACGGUAAGUCAGAGGUGAAAUCCCGGAGCUCAACUUCGGAAUUGCCUCCGAUACUGCCGUGCUUGAGGACUGGAGAGGAGUCUGGAAUUCACAGUGGAGCAGUGAAAUGCGUAGAUAUUGUGAGGAACACGAGUGGCGAAGGCGAGACUCUGGACAGUUCCUGACGCUGAGGCACGAAGGCCAGGGGAGCAAACGGG
This 253-nucleotide ribosomal RNA is filed under the name uncultured bacterium. RNAcentral describes it as "partial 16S ribosomal RNA". It matches the Rfam family "Bacterial small subunit ribosomal RNA", at positions 524 to 776 of the family's 1533-position model. The record is from RNAcentral.